Molecule: long non-coding RNA, 4466 nt
Organism: Megalobrama amblycephala (Wuchang bream)
Lineage: Eukaryota; Metazoa; Chordata; Actinopteri; Cypriniformes; Xenocyprididae
Exons: 3
Source: RefSeq, a predicted model, not a curated record
UGUGAUAUUAAUGAUAUCUUUCUCAGACGUGACAUUCAUUUAGAAAAACCAAACUGGCAGACGCCAGGUUCGCAGACUUGGAGAAGCAGGAGUGUUUUGACAUAUUAAAUGACUGCAGACAGCGGUGCGCUCCCCGCUCUGCAUUCAGCCCACGUUUCCGGAACAUUCUGAGCGCGCUCCUGUGGCUCUGCCUGACCCACCGCCAGCCCUCCUCAGAUCACAUUCAAAGUGAUUGUGCUGUUCAAUAUUUCAUUGACAUCAGCCUCAAAGAUUGUUGCUACAGUGACACCAGAGAUAAUUAUUUUUUACCACAGUCUUUUUUGAGAUGUUUUUACCCCCUCCUCUCCCUGGCUCCAGCCAUUCCUGUGGAGAAUUGUUCUGCAUAAAUCAGCUGGUGGAAUAUUGAAUCAGCCUCACCACGGGGAAUGUGUUUUUGUGUGUGUAUGUGUGACUGAUUAUUACAAAGAGUCAAGGCGCAAAACCAGACAAACAGCGCCGCUAAGUGGGCAGCUCUGGAACACAAAACACAAACAUUCAGUCAUCGUUUAGUCACCUUCAUGUCGUUGCAAAUACAAACCCGUAUUACUAGCUAGUUUUAUUCUACGGGGCACAGAAUACCACAGAUAUUUUGAAGAAUAUUUAAAUCCAAAACUGUAACGGAGACCACUGACUUCUGUUUUGUUUAGAAGGAGAAAAAAAAAACAUAGCCUACAGGUUUUGAACGACAUGAGGGUGAGUAAAUGAUGACAGAGUGCAUUUUUAGGGCUAUUAGGUUUCUAGUGAUUGACGUUACAUUUUGACUGACUGAGAGGUUUUAAGUCAAAUCAGGUUAUGGUGUAAAGCAUUAUCUGCCUCGUACAGAAAUCGUAUUGCGCGGAAAGAGCGCCGCCAUAAGCAGCAUCAUAUAAUUACUUCAUAUUGCCCAAGGAAGCUAAAUAGGUGAGAGAAAGCAGACGGGAUCCGGAAAAUUCCACGAACCUAGACUCAAACCUAUAAUUCUGUGCACGCAACUGCACCAGAGGUCAACACGCUGUCCACAAAGCCAUCGGGAAAUGACGCAAAAUUGGAGAUAGAAGGCAGACAGGAUCUGGAAAAGACCAUGAGGCAGGACUCAACUCAGGAUUCCUUGUGCAUAACAGCACCAGAUGUCAGCACACUGUCCACAAGGCUAUCGGGAACUGCAAGCCUCAGUCAGUUUGAUAAAUAUUAGAACGUCGUGGUGGUGGUGGUGGGGGUUAUCCUGUGUGUGGAUGGAGUUUAACCAGCAUCAGUUUCAUCAGUUUAAAUGUUAAUUUUUUGCCUUUGUGCCAUUUAUUAUAAUAUGAAAUAUGUUGACAGGAAGGAACACAAAAAGGCAUAAAAUCUUCAGACUUCCCCCUCCGGUUCACUGUUUUUAUGAAUCACAAAUCACUAGGCCAACAAAGCUCUCUGCAGACAGGGGCCCUGGGUUACUGUGGUCACAUGGGAACCCUGCAGACAUCAUUUGCACAAGACUGCCAGAGACCCCCCCCCACACACACACACACUACACACACACACACACACACACACACACACACACACACACACACACAUCAGGAGACCUUGAACAGGUCAGUGCUGCUAACUAACUACACGGACACAUGUUUGUGAAGACUUGCUGUCUACACAGAUUUUUCUAAUGAACUACAUUGUAUUGAAGUACAUAACCCCAUUCAUGUCUACCAUAAUUCUGCCAGAUCCGAGGGUCCACAGCCCAAUUCUGGUUUGGGUUCUUGCAGACCAACAACAGGCUGCAGUGCAAUAGUAAAUCUAUAGUUUGAGCUGACAAUUGCUCUGCACUGAAAUCCUUGUAAGUUCAGAUUGACUUUGUUAAAACUGGUUUACUCAGUUUGUAGUAUUCAAACAUUUAAUAUUUAAUUAUACUAUUGCAUUAUAUUUAGUGCGCAGUGAUCACUUGAUGUCUAAGACCAGGAUAGUACAUUUUAAGUACCACAAAAGCAAGGUCUCGAGACACUUUUUUCUUUAAAAAAAAAAAAAAAAAAAAAGCAGCACCACUAACAGUGCAAAAAAAGUGCAGUGUAGACAGCGUCAUUGCUUAUAACAGGAAUUUUGUCGAGAGUCCAGAACUUGCGCUGUGUGAUUGACAGCUUCAGCGAUUAUUAAGGGAGUGUUCUUUGAUUGCUUUUUAUAUAUAAUUUAAUCACAAUUUAAAUAAAUAAUUUUCAUGCUACUAAGGCCACAUACACACUAAGUUUCAGGAGUGACAACCACAUUUAAAUAUGGGAAAAGCUUGUUGUUUAAGCUCGGCUCAUAAAGCGAUCGAGUUUACGGAGUUAUUAAAGUGAGCAGAUGUGGGCCUUGUUCGCUGUUUUUCUAGAAAGAUCUGGAAGCGCUCCUGCUGCUUUCCCUGUGAUUUCUUCACCACACAUGCAGAAGAGAAACAUCUCAUCAUUAACAACUAGUUGUUCAGUUCUGUACACACUGUGUAGAAUGUUUGUAAAUGCGGUUGUCACUACCUGUAUUUUUCGGGAGUUAAUUUGGUUGUAGAAUGCGGUUGUGACUCCCUUAUUUUACUGAACUCUAUGUGUACAGAAUGCGAUUAAGCACUAAAAGGUGAACUGGCAACCGAAUUUAGCUGCAGUCUGUAUGUGGCCUAAGAGAAACAAUGUGAAGUUGACCAUUUAGUUACCGGCUUGAUUUACUGAUGCAUAAACAGCAAUAAACAUCAAACUACAUCAAAAUGUGACAAAAUCCAAAAUGAGUUCUGAAACUUACAGGAUGUUUUUAUAGUACCAUGACCUCUUACAUGCAAACAGAUCAAGGAAAAUUUUAUUUCUCAGUUCAUGACCCCUUUAAAGCCAUAGUUGAGCUGAUGAAUGUAACUACCAGAACAUAAAUAAACCUGAGCAUUAUUCUGAGCUUAACUAUACUGCACUGAAUAACAGUAAUCCCCCAAAACUACCCACACCUCCCAGUGACUUGUGCUUCAUGCUUUGUUUUCAGCUGAUGUAAAGAAGACCCUAUCCAGGAAUAAGUUACCCAUGCAAAGCUUUGGGACCUGACUCCUGGCAACAUACCUGGCCAUGUACUAAAAGACUGUACUGAAGAUGACAGAUGUCUUAACAGACAACACCUCGCUGAGCCAGGCAGUUGUCCCCACUUCUCAAGUCCAUCAUCAUACCUGUACCAAAGUUGUCAUCUGUGUCCUGUCUGAAUGACUACCAUCCCAUAGCACUGACCCCAAUCAACCACAUCACGUCUAGUCUCCCUAACACACUGGACCUGCUCCAGUUUGCAUACCAUCUGAACUGCUUUACGGACGAUGCAAUAUCCUUCACCAUCCACCAAGCUCUGGAGCAGAAAAACUCGUUAGAAAACUUAGAAUGCUGUUUUUCGACAAAGGAGGUUGUGAUGGGCUGACCAUCGACAACUCAACUGUGGAGUCAGCAGUACUAAAUUCCUGGGGGUGCAUAUCAUAUACCUUUUCCACCAACAUGAACCGGGUGUUAGCUCAUAGCUAGUGCUAUGGCCGGUUCGGAGUUGGUUCGACUGGCGAGCCUUCUAAGAACUGGUUUGCCUUUCCACAGGAUAGAGAGCCACCGAAGAGCCAGGUCUUACGCCACUGUAUACGUCUUAUCUUUCUCAGCAACGCUAGAGCCAAACACACCAUCAACAAUGGCGGACGUUGCAUUACUAUUGAUGCUCAUGGCUUUGGAACCCACAUCGGCAUCCAAACACGGCAAAUCCAGUUCGUGCAGCUCACUGUAAUUUGUACAGGUGGAGAUUGCGGUCACAAGUUUCUGUUUGCCUUGUUGGUCACGGUGACCCUACCACAAGCGGUUCUUACUUCUAGACCAGUGGUUCUCAAACCUGUCCUGGGGACCCCCCACCACUGCACAUUUUGCAUGUCUCCCUCAUCUAACACACCCAAUUCAACUCUUGCAGUCUCUACUAAUUAGCUGAUGACUUGAAUUAGGUGUGUUAGGUGAGGGUGGCAAGCAAAAUAUGCAGUGGUGGGGGGUCCCCAGGACAGGUUUGAGAACCACUGUUCUAGACCAGCAAUGUUUCGGUGCUACUUGCGAACCACUUUUCCUGGUUCAGAGCUGGUGUUUUGGGUGUCGAAAGACAAAGAACUGAUCUAAAACUAGGCUCUGGACCAGCAUGUAAACUGCCUUGGUAUGUCUAAAGUUUUAAGUAUGUGUAUAGUAAGAUUACUCGCUAUAAAGUUUAUAUAUGUACAUGAUUUAUAUAAGUUUUAUAUGUAUCAUUUCUUUGUUUUGUGUUUAUUCAUCUUUGUCUCCACAUACAGCGAAUGACAAAGCUCACUUGAACUUCAAUGAGAGCUAAAGCUACAAGUAUCAGUCUUUUUAGUCCAAAAUAGAACAAUCAAGAGUGAAAUUGAACUGACGAUAUCAAGCGAUACCACAGAAUUGUUGUGCUGGCUUGACUUUGCAUAAUUUGGCUGCUAUAAAUGUGUAACAAAA